UUCUAUUACAUUAAAGGUGUCUCAGAAAAUUCUGCUACAAUGUUCAAGUCCAUUAAAUUAACAAGUGACUUCUUUGCCUGAUUUUUCUACCAACCCAUAUGCUUAAAGGCUGUCUCUUGCCCAUUUUACUAUUUUUUCUGUGUCCUCUCACUUUCUGCAUUCUUGUCUGUUCCAAGUUCCAAUUUUCUUCAGCUCACCCUCUUUAUCUCCAUGAAAGAUGCAAGAAAGAAAGAAAGAAAAGAAGAAACAAACUAAAAGCUAAACCUUAAAAAAGGCUGACCUUGAACUCCUGGGCUCAAACAGUCCUCCUGCCUCAGCCUGCUGAGUAGCUCGGACUAUGGGCAUAUGCCACCAUGCCUGACUCUUAAUGCUGUCUUUUGAUGAAGCUAUGUGACAUAUCUGCUCCCCCUUUGCCUUUGCCAUGAUUGGAAACUUCCUGUUGCCUCUCCAGAAGCAGAUGCCACUAUGCUUCCUACACAGCCUGCAGAACUUGGAUGACAAGAAUCUGUGAUUUGCAUAUGCCCUGCAGAAGAUAAGGUAUGGAUAUUUAGGACUAGUCUAUCGUUAACCAAUGUGGAUUACAGACUAAUUACUUUCUGGACACUAAGAAUAAUUUAAAAAUACCCCAAGAUUUCAAAAGGAAAUGAAAGAAAGAAAAGUAAGCAAAACUAACUUCAUGAAUUAAUGUAUCCUGGAAGGGGAUGUUACAUUGACUCUCAUUACUAUAAUAUCAUUGUGGAUUUCAGUGGUUUUCCUGGAAUGCUGAAAAGAAGUGCUACUGGAAGCCCCCUGGCAGUUAAGUAAACAUUUACUUGUGGUGAAAUAAUUCCUGAAAGCGGCAUUUAUUCAAUAAACAUUUAUUGAGCAACUACACACACACAAUUGCACACACACACACACACACGUAUAUGUAAACAUAUGUUUAUAUACUAUAUUGUCACAUAGAAAAUGCUUGGGGAUACAACAGUAAACAAAGCCGAUCAAAAUCUCUGAUCUCUCUUUUUUUUUUUUUUUUUGAGAUGGAGACUCACUCUGUCACCCAGGCUGGAGCGCAGUGGCAUGAUCUCGGCUCACUACAACCUCUGCCUGCCGGGUUGAAGUGAUUCUCCUGCCUCAGCCUCCUGAGUAGCUGGGAUUACAGGCGCACACCACCACACCUGGCUAAUUUUUGUAUUUUUAGUAGAGACGGCUUUUCACCAUGUUGGCCAGGCUGGUCUUCAACUCCUGACCUCAGGUGAUCCGCCACCUCAGCCUCCCAAAGUGCUGGGAUUAUAGGCAUGAGCCACCGCACCCGGCCAAAAAUCUCUAACCUUAUAGAGGUUUUACUCACCAUUUUAUCUUUAGCACCUCAAAGACUGCUUAAUAUUUGUGAAUUAGUUAAUUAAUGUUUCUUAAGACCUGCUCACAAUCUGUAUUUCCUUAAGUCUUGAUGGCCUUCCAUUCUAGAUGUGCUAUUGCAUAGCAGAUCCCAUAGAUAAGGAAGAAAGGCUGUGAUUCUCCCGAAGCCUUCAACUGGUAAGUUGAGAAGGCAGAAGCUUCUACCUCAUGAAUGUUAAGCCAAUACAUAGAGGAGAGCAAACAAAACCUAGAUACAGAACAAAAGUUUUGGGGUCCUACGCAAGAAUUUGCUGAAGUUAAAAGAGAAAUGAGCUACUAUUACACACGACAUGGAUGAAUCUCAAAAUCAUCAUGUUGAAAGAAGCCAGACACAAAAGAGGAGAAGACUCGACAUUUGCAUUGGCUUCUCAAAAGGGUUUCAACUACACAAAAAGUGUUUAAAAAUCCAGUUAUAUGGAGAAACAAGAUCAAUUUAUUGUCAAAAGACAGAAUUAUUCCUCUUUUGCAUCAACCAGGCUUGACAUAACUGUAAUCUCAUGGAAAUGUCUGCUACUGUAAUCAAGAAUUUGCAUGUAGAAGGAAUGCAUCACAGAAUAUAUGACAUCUUGCUAUGUCUACUGUACUAAAGAAUUAAAGAGGUUUGAAAAUAAAUACUGAAACAAAUCAGAAAGGAACCUCAAUUUUAUUAAACUAAAAUAUCAUAGCUAGGAACAUCUCAAAUUGAGAAUAAAGUUUAUAUAAUAUUUCAGAGUCAUAUGAAUGUCAUAAAAUAAUAAAAAUGUACCAUAUAAUUAUUUAAAAAGCACAAGUCUAUAAAUUGGAAACAAUGACCAGCUAAGAGAUGACAGGUAGGCUGAAACUCAACCUAUUUCCAAACCACUAAAGAAGACAUAAAUCAACUUAAAGGGAAAAUUACAUUUGUAGGUUUAUAAACAUAUUUUUAAAAACCACUCCUAUAAAGCAAAAGAUAUAAAAAGAAAACUUGAGAAAUGAUAAAAGGAUAAAGGAUAAAAAAUUAACAAAGCUAUAUGUUAGGCCACUUUGGUUCAUGCAAUUUUCUUUUGUUUCUCUCUAAAAUGGUAUAUCAAUUUUUAUUUUUCACAAACUUCUUUCAAUUAAGAAAGAAAAUACAUUU
RNAcentral lists this long non-coding RNA (2473 nucleotides) under Homo sapiens (human). RNAcentral's name for it is "HSALNT0209703". Lineage: Eukaryota; Metazoa; Chordata; Mammalia; Primates; Hominidae. The record is from RNAcentral.